GGAAAAAGUAUGUGAACCCCUAGACUAAUGACAUCUCCAAGAGCUAAUUGGAGUGAGAUGUAAUCCAACUGGAGUCCAAUCAAUGAGAUGAGAUUGGAGGUGCUGGUUACAGCUGCCCUGCCCUAUAAAAAACACACACCGGGGGGGCGGGGCCGGGCCGCCGAGCCGGCUGGACGCCACAUGCAUGGGCUCCAGCUCUAGGCUCGUGAAACGGAUUCAAAAAGCCGACAUAGACCGCUGCAAUGCCGGAACAGUCGCUCCCGCUGCAUGGAGAGGGUUACCAGCUUCAGCCCGAUACCCCGCAGGAGGCACAACACGCACCGGGUGAGCGGAAACAGACACCUUCGGCCUGCAAGCCGACACAGGCCUGUCCUCGUGCUCCCAGGCACCGCGGAGAGGCACUUUGCGGGAAAGGGAAAAACCACAUGAACUAUACCCCGGCUCGGGGCACGGCCCCGCUCCCCCCCGGACCGGUGGGGGUUAUCCCGGCAUCAUGGCGGCGGCCCGCACAGUGGCGGGAGAUCCCGCGCUAGGCCUAUGCCGCCUGCCUACACUAGCAACGGCUGAAAGGGAAAAAACAGCCAGCUAGCAGAUAUGGACGCUGCCAGGAACGCACCCUAAUACAGAAUAAAGGGGCACAAGCAACCAUUGGAUGGGGCACUACAACCCACAUGAAGCCCCAAUUUGGAAGGCUGCCGAUGAGAAUCCUGCAUAAAAGGCUACUACCAUUAAUAUCCCCCAGGAAACCAGAUGAGCGGCUUGAGCACCAACAGAGGCACAUACCAUGUUGGGUUACCGCGGACUUUUGCAGAGAUGGACCCACAGAUGCCCACCCUCGGGUGACCGGUGUGCUGGUAGGGAACCGGUCGGACCCUUUGAACUUGGUGGUGAUUCAGAGGACUUUUCCCCUGACUCAGUGAGCCCUGUGGGACCGGUAGACGUAGACCCUCCGGUGAACCGGUAGCCGGGCAUUGGUACCAAGUAUGAGACCGGAGCCAGGCGAGGCAUGGACUGACUGGGAAUCGGGGAGGUGCAGGGGACGGGUGGCAGGUGGAUUCUACGUGGGGGGGAUCUGCUAGUCUGCCCACGCAACCGAGUGCCCACGGCGCCACGGAUCUACCCACUGACGGACCGGAGUUUGCCCAGGGUGGAGGCACAAGAGGGUCCCCCAGACACAGAGGUGCCCACGGGCCCCAAAUGUGGAUGGCCCAACCUAACUUGAUAACAUCUAGGACUCAUUUAGCCAAAAGCGUAGUCGUCCAGAACAGCCAUGCCCCGGU
Molecule: non-coding RNA, 1280 nt
Organism: Pelobates cultripes (western spadefoot toad)
Lineage: Eukaryota; Metazoa; Chordata; Amphibia; Anura; Pelobatidae
Source: the annotation of a GenBank genome assembly